This 3498-nucleotide long non-coding RNA is filed under the name Malus domestica (apple). RNAcentral's name for it is "long non-coding RNA (MDOM_LNC021121)". Lineage: Eukaryota; Viridiplantae; Streptophyta; Magnoliopsida; Rosales; Rosaceae. The record is from RNAcentral.
UUUUUUUUUUCUGUUUGGGUGCUCAGAAACUCAAGAGAAUUCGUUGAAGUUAGAGCAAAAUUUUAUUUCAGUUGACUUUGUGGUUGUUAUUCUCUUCAUUCUCAGCAACCAAACAGAAUCUAAUUGUUUUAUUCAUAGUUUUGUUUAAUUGCUAUGUUUUAACUCGUCGAUCAUGUCGAGAAUUCGAUUUUUCUAAUUAUCGUUUUUUGAUUUUGGAUUGAUACAGGACAGGGACAAAGAUUUGUCAGUGAAGAUUGAAGAAGGAUUUGGACCAAAUGGGUUGGGAAUCCUAUCAAUCACUCAAGUAUGAUUUCGUUAUGCGAUUACCGUUGUUAAUUACUGAUUAUCUCUUCCAUUACCAGUUUUGGUAAGUUAAACUAUAUGUGCAGAAAGAAUUUGUUAACGAAUCGGUUAAAAAGAUAAACCACAUGAACUUGCAUAUGUAAUGUCGGGGUACUUUCUCCGUCAUGUAGAUUGUAGAUUGUGCUGUUUGGGCAACGAUAUUUUGCUCCAUUAUUCCAUUCAUAGCUCAUAAAUUAUGAUGUCUCAUGCUGUUGUUUUGAUGCUUCAUACCUAAUCGAUUCUUGUGAGAGCUAGCGUUUUGUUGUAAACUGAUACGUAUUUUCUUUCUAGCAUCUUUGUAAUUGUUUCUUUGAGUUUUCAAUUGCAGGUUCCGGGAUAUUCUUCCUUGCGCGGGAAUCUUCUAGGCUUGUCACCUAGGUAUAUCCCUUCUACGUAGGAUUUUCAUGUUCAUUUUAAGUUUUAACUGCAAUUCAUAAUGAAUUUAGGAAGAUAGUUUGUUAUAGCACUGCUCAUGGGAGUUUUCUUUUUGUUUAUUAGAUUAGCCAAUCUGCCCGAAGAGGUGAAGAAGGAACUUGAAGAUCCUCAUAGUAGGUAAGUCAUUUUAGUCCCAUUGUUAUACUUUGAUUUCUCUUAAGCCGUUGGCAUAAUUUUCGUGUAAACACAAACAUCAAUCUAUGUUUUACUUACAAUAGAGAAAAAUUCCAAAAAUCCCUGCCGCAUCUCAACUCUUGGAUUUUCAGAGACUAUGGUCUUGACAUUAUUAACUAAUAAUUUACGUAGUUUUAUUGCUUUUCUUGGGAAUCUUUACAAAGUUUUAUUGCUUAUCUUCUUUUUACCUGCCAUCCAUGUUUAGGUACAAUUUUGGAUGGAGUCAUGGAAAAGAGAAGCUGGAAUCUGGAAAGCCUGGUAUCACUUUAUGUUCUUUGUUUUAAAUUUUGUUUCUUUGGAAACUCUAAGAACUUAGGAUCAUUCAUUUUCCGUUUGUGUUCUGGUUUUGCAGAUACGUUAAAAGGCUCGUUUUAUGCAAAUCCAAUAUUGGAUAGCCCUACAACAGAUGAAUCUCUAAUUCAAAGGUAAAAGUCAAUAGGGACAUCAAUCAUAAUCUGAGUACAUGUGGGAUCUAUUUUGUCUGAGGUCACACAGUAUAUGGCUCAUACCAGUAAUGUCUGGCCAAACAGUUGUUUGUGUUAGUUAUGAAUAACUAUCAUACAUUUGAUAAAGGUUUCCUAGAAUUAACCAGGACAAAUCGUCUUUAUGCUGGGAUAUGUUUAUCUUUAUUUAUCCUAUUUGAGAACUUACAGAUUUUGCGUAAACAGAACAUAAUACUUUGUGUCUGCUCAGAUUUUAUUUGUGAUAUGUAUUGUAGGUAUCCAUCAUACUGUGGUUCAAAUAUAUGGCCCGAUAGUGAAUUGCCAGAACUAGAAGUCAGUAUGUUUUCCUUUAAUUUAUGAUUGUAUUUUUUCAUGAUUAUGUCAUCACUGCAUGUAACUUUUGAUCUGUAGCCUUCAAAGCUCUUGGAAAGGUGUUCCUUGGAGUUGGGCUUAUGGUCGCAUAUCACUGUGACAGAUACGGUAUGGUCUUUGUUGUUAAGGUUUACACUAAGAGAGCAUAGCUAUCCUGUUUAGUGUUUUUCCGGUCGCAUUUUACACUUAAGUUUUCAUGACACUUAAGUUUUCAUGACGCAUGUUGCAAACAUCAUACAUUUUUCAAGCCAAAUUUCUCUCUUGUCAGUUGUCAUCAUCGACUUCCUUUCCCGACACGGGUAUUUAACUUUCACUAUUGAUAUUCUUACAAUAAGUGAUCCGAUACGAGAGAAACUCACACCUGAGGGAUGCCACUAUGGCGUUAUCUCAAACCGUUCAUUUACCGCCAGGUAUUUUAACUACUAUGUGAUGCGUUUCAAAAAAUCUCAUCUUUGUUUUUUCAUCAAUGCAGGUACAUUAGCCCCGAAUCCUUUGGAUACCUGGAUCUACUACAUAUAUAUUAAAAUUUGCAUCGAUUUUCUUCUUUUCUUAUUCUCUGUAUCUCUCAAUUUUUCUUCCCCUUUUGUCAACCAACUUGUAUGUUUUCUUUCUACAUAUAUAUAUUUUAACUACUGUGUAAAACCGCUUCUUACAAACAAAAACAUUCUCAAACAAGCCCACACUUAUGGUAUAAUAGUAUUGAUAUGCAACCGCAACCGCAACCACAACCACAGUUGAAUUCGUUAAGCGCAUGCCACAAAAACUGUAAACAUGAUGAAUAGAAGUGUUAGAAAACCCCCCUUUUUUUUUUUUUUUUUUGCGGAAGAUAGAGAGUUCGAAGCUAUUACAAUAAUUUAUAGGAGGGGAAGUUUCGUACCUGAGACGCAAGGGUAGAAACCCAACCCUUUCUACAAGUAUAUUAGACCAUAUGCAAACAGAAAACAAAAUAAUAUGCAUAUCCAGAAUUUUGUGGUGCGAAAGUGCUUUCAGAUUAAACAAACCAAUAUAUAUUUUCAUGCCAAAUUAUUUAGUAGACAGGAUUUGUUCGUUGCGGUCUCUGCUUCUGUGCUCCUCCAUGUCUAAGUUGGGAUCUUAAAAUGAGAUAAGGCAGAGGUUCCAUCUAGGCCUUUGUCAUAGAAAUGGGUGUCGUAGUCCCUCACAGUAGUCUCCCUGUACUUUGGAGGGUUGUCUUCUGAUACCAACUCCUUAAUAGGUCCAUAGAGAUUUGUAAAUGGUAGCAAACCUGUGCUAAAGAAGCUGGCAAUGGAUAUCCUUGGACCUUCACGGUUCGCCAAUACCCUGUGUUCUACGCUUUUGAAUCUAUCAUUUGAUAUGAGCUGAAAAUCCCAAAAAGAAUUGAACAUAAAAGACCUAAUUAUGAUAAUCGAAGAAUUCUAAGACAUAUUCUAAGAGAACGCUAACAUGCGACCAAAGCUUGUCUCGAGUAUUAGUCAUUAACAAACUAGCUUAGUUUACGAUACUAUUCUCUUAAUUUAAUAGUAGUUUUUAGGGAGAAAAAAAAAGGGCAAUUGUAUACGUGUGCUUACUUGUAAAAGAUCUCCAAUGUUCACCACUAAAGCCCCAGGCACAGGGGGUACAUCAAUCCACUUAUUUUGACGAUCAACAACUUGCAGACCACCAAUAUGAUCUUGCAGAAGGACCGUAAGGAAGGAAUCAUCAGCGUGCUUGCUUGUGCCCAAAGUUAACUCUGGCUGUGGACAAGCAGGAUAGU